RNAcentral lists this ribosomal RNA (516 nucleotides) under Halophylus maireani. RNAcentral's name for it is "partial large subunit ribosomal RNA". The stretch from base 385 to 516 matches the Rfam family "Archaeal large subunit ribosomal RNA", at positions 2542 to 2674 of the family's 2987-position model. Lineage: Eukaryota; Metazoa; Arthropoda; Insecta; Hemiptera; Miridae. RNAcentral also lists the same sequence under 1 other name. The record is from RNAcentral.
CAUGGUCUUUUGUUUAUAUAAAAGAUCUGGCCUGCCCAAUGAUUAAUUUAAUGGCUGCAGUAUUUUGACUGUACAAAGGUAGCAUAAUCAUUUGUCUUUUAAUUGGAGUCUGGAAUGAAUGGUUGGAUGAAAAAUUUACUUUCUUUAUUUUAAAUAAAAAAAUUAUUUUCUGAAUUAAAAAAUUUAGAUUUUAUUAAAAGACGAGAAGACCCUAUAGAACUUUAUUUGUUUUAUAAUGUUUAUUUUUUAGGAAAUAAUUUAUAUUUAUUGUUGAAUAAAUUUUGUUGGGGUGAUAAAAAAAAUUUUUUAACUUUUUUUAUUUAUUACAUUUAUAUAUGAGUAUUUGAUCCUUUAUUAAAGAUUACAAGAUUAAGUUACCUUAGGGAUAACAGCGUUAUUAUUUUAGAGAGUUCAUAUUGAUAAAAUAGUUUGCGACCUCGAUGUUGGAUUAAAAUAAGUUUCAGGAGUAGAAAAUUGAAUACUAGGUCUGUUCGACCUUUAAAUUUUUACAUGAUC